UGUGUGUGUGUGUGUGUGUGUGUGUGUGUGUGUGUGUGUGCAAGACAGUAAGUGUUGCACGUGUUAAGCUGCCUUGUUUGCAUGAGUGUGUGUGUCUUUUUUGGUCUUGUUAUCUUUGUGUGACACUCCACAUUUAAUUGUGAUGAUAUUUUCCAUUUUUAGGGAUAUUUUAAUUUGGCUCACGCGAGAAAAACGCAAAGCUGACCUCCUUUCCUCCCAUUGGACGGGAUAUUUUAAUUUGGCUCACGCAAGAAAAACGCGAAGCUGACCUCCUUUCCUCCCAUUGGACGUCUCCCCAGCAGGCCUGCAAACUUUGCGGCGUGACGCCUUCGCCGGGGGAAUUUUAGGCAAACAAGUCAGCGCCGGAUCCUCGGGCUCUCCCCGGCUGUGAGCGGAACGCCAUUAGUCUCAGCGCUGACCACAGUUACGGGGCCCUGCUUCCAAAUUACGGCGCCGAGGCCUUUUCCAAUU
Molecule: long non-coding RNA, 471 nt
Organism: Nerophis lumbriciformis (worm pipefish)
Lineage: Eukaryota; Metazoa; Chordata; Actinopteri; Syngnathiformes; Syngnathidae
Source: RefSeq, a predicted model, not a curated record